UGGAUGUGCUGAAGUAAAUAAAUUACCAAAUUUGGCAUGAAAAGACUCACAAUUGUUAGUUGUUCUUUCCAGUGUUGCUUCUUUUUUGGCCCAAAUACUGGGUGGAAAUGUUGCAUCCUGUUUUAUGUAUGUUUUGUCUAAAAUGCGGAGAUACGGUGCGUUCGUGUUUUCGACCGUGCGGAGAUACGGUGCAUGCGGAGUUACGGAUUCACAAAAUAUUUUUAUUCAUGCGGAGCUGCGGUGCGUCCAAAUUACAAAAGAAACCGUGCCAACUGUAAACACACCAAUCAGCAUACAGGUUUACUAGUCGGUACAACGACGGGUAUAUAUACGGGUGCACGCUCAUACAAAAUCAUCAGUCUUCUUCCACCUUUCAACACAACACUACACACCAACACAUUAGCGGGAAAGAGGAAGACAACAACCAGGAGCGAUUAGAAUCAUAAGCAGCGGAAGACAGGCGAUCCAGCGAAGGCGAAACGAAGAGCAGUAGAUACAACACAGGAGAAUUAUUGUGCCGGACGACCAGCAGCAAUCAUAUUCGGAAAUACAACCCGACGGAAAAUAAGUAGUGCCAGCGAAUCAAGAAGUAGUAUUCACACGACGGAGACGGUUAACGCACAUCGCCGGCGAGCCAAGAAACUAUCCUACGGCAGUAGUGAGUGAUUACCAGCGGCUUUACACGCGGUUCUCCUCCGCUACCGUUAACAGUCGAUCUACCCUUGCGACUACAAAAAGGUCCUUUUCAGGACCAUUACAAAUCCAGCGUGCCUGUCUAGGUGUUCGCCCCGAAUCUCUCGACCUAACAUUGACUUGUCCAAGUUCAUAAUUAGGGAGUCAGAUUUCAUUUCCCAUUAUAUUUAUAUAAUAUACUAUUGAUUUAUGCCCUUAAUAUUGUUAAAUUUAAAUCGCGCCUCCUUAGGCCCGAUACCGCCCGACACGAUCUACUUACUUAAGUCAACCGUGCGGCCCGGAUUAAACAAAUCCCUAAUAACUGUAAAUAAUUUAUUUUAAAAACAUUGUACAAUAAAUUUUAUGAUACCGUAAACAA
Metopolophium dirhodum (rose-grain aphid) is the source of this 1051-nucleotide long non-coding RNA. RefSeq lists it as uncharacterized. The transcript has 2 exons. The record is from RefSeq and is a predicted model, not a curated record. NCBI's taxonomy places the organism in Eukaryota, Metazoa, Arthropoda, Insecta, Hemiptera, Aphididae.